UACAGAGGGGGCAAGCGUUGUUCGGAAUUACUGGGCGUAAAGGGCUCGUAGGUGGCCAACUAAGUCAGACGUGAAAUCCCUCGGCUUAACCGGGGAACGGCGUCUGAUACUGGAUGGCUUGAGUUUGGGAGAGGGAUGCGGAAUUCCAGGUGUAGCGGUGAAAUGCGUAGAUAUCUGGAGGAACACCGGUGGCGAAGGCGGCAUCCUGGACCAACACUGACACUGAGGAGCGAAAGCCAGGGGAGCAAACGGG
Molecule: ribosomal RNA, 253 nt
Filed under: uncultured bacterium
Lineage: Bacteria
Description: partial 16S ribosomal RNA
Rfam family: Bacterial small subunit ribosomal RNA
Source: RNAcentral